UGGGGAAUAUUGCACAAUGGGCGAAAGCCUGAUGCAGCGACGCCGCGUGAGGGAUGACGGCCUUCGGGUUGUAAACCUCUUUCAGCAGGGAAGAAGCGAAAGUGACGGUACCUGCAGAAGAAGCGCCGGCUAACUACGUGCCAGCAGCCGCGGUAAUACGUAGGGCGCAAGCGUUGUCCGGAAUUAUUGGGCGUAAAGAGCUCGUAGGCGGCUUGUCACGUCGGAUGUGAAAGCCCGGGGCUUAACCCCGGGUCUGCAUUCGAUACGGGCUAGCUAGAGUGUGGUAGGGGAGAUCGGAAUUCCUGGUGUAGCGGUGAAAUGCGCAGAUAUCAGGAGGAACACCGGUGGCGAAGGCGGAUCUCUGGGCCAUUACUGACGCUGAGGAGCGAAAGCGUGGGGAGCGAACAGGAUUAGAUACCCUGGUAGUCCACGCCGUAAACGUUGGGAACUAGGUGUUGGCGACAUUCCACGUCGUCGGUGCCGCAGCUAACGCAUUAAGUUCCCCGCCUGGGGAGUACGGCCGCAAGGCUA
This 531-nucleotide ribosomal RNA is filed under the name soil bacterium LB-P1-3. RNAcentral's name for it is "bacterial SSU rRNA". It matches the Rfam family "Bacterial small subunit ribosomal RNA", at positions 355 to 896 of the family's 1533-position model. RNAcentral also lists the same sequence under 2 other names. The record is from RNAcentral.